AUGAAGGGAGAGGUCGGUACUAUCGAUCAUGAGAAACUUGUGUGUUUGUGUACAGUAUAUAAAGUGUUUAUUUUAGCAAGAGAGUAUGGGAGUGAUAGAAAAAAAAUCUGUUCAUCAUUUACUCAGCCUCAUGUUGUUCAAAACCUUAAAAAAGCAGAUAUGUUUAAGAGUGUUUCAACUGUGUUUGUCCAUAUAGUAAAAGUCUGUAAGGUCCAAAACAAGCAAACAAACUGAAAUAAAAUAAAAAUAAUAAUAAUAUAUACAAAUAAAUGUGUAUAUACAUUAACGUUCAAAAUAAAUAAAUAAAGGUAAUAUAGAAAUAUAAGGUUGGAAUUUUUAAAUAUUAUUGAAAGAAGUUAUGCUCACUUAUUUGAUCAAAAAUAGAGUAAAACAGUAAUAUUGUGAAACAUUUCUUAUUAUUAUCAGUUGAAAGCAGAUUUUGCUGCUUACCAAUUUUUUUGGAAACAGUGUUACAGUGCUGUUCAAAAUUUUGGGGUAAUAAAACUUUUAUUUUAUUUUAUUUUAUUUAAUGUAUUUUUAUUUUAUUUUAUUUUUUUUAUUUUUUUAUUUUAUUUUUUAAUUUAAUUUAAUUUAAUUUAAUUUAAUUUAAUUUUUUAUUUUAGAAAUGUUGCUUUGCUUUUAUUCAGCAAAGGCACAUCAAAAUGAUCAAAAGUGACAGCAAAGAUAUUUAUAAUGUUACAAAAUAUUUAUAUUCCAAAUAAAUGCUGUUCUUUUGAACUAUUCAUUAACAAAUCCUGAAAAAAAAAAAAAAUAAUAAUAAUAAUAAUAAUUAAAAGUAUCACGCUUUCCACAAAAAUAUUUAUAUUAAGCAGCAAAAACGAUUUUCAGCAUUGAUGAUAAUAACAACCAUCAUUAAUAAUUGAGAGCCAGUAAUAAUUGAUGAUAACUGAUCAGCAUUUAGCAUAUUAGAAUGAUAUUUAAACACAUCAUGCAAAGAGUUACUAAGAUAUGUAAAGCUUUAUGGCCACUGAUUAGCUUGACAGACUAGAAGCAUGAGCCUGAGGAAAAGAACACUGAAUGAUGGGCCGAAAGCAGAGGAAACAUGGACCAUCAACUGUUGAGACUAAAUAUCAAAGAAAUCAAUGACGUGCAACACCAGUAAGCCCUAAUUGAGUCUUUAUCUGUGCAUAAGUAUAAUGCAGUGGCCGUGCUCCGUCGAGUGGCUCUGAAGAGGCAGAAUGAUGGAUCAGGAUUCAGAGGACAGGCCUGUCAGGGCUUUGAUUGAUCAGAGAGCUGUGCUUUUGUCCGGCCCCCAGGAUCCCUCAGCACUUCCUAUAAUCAAAGCCCCGCCAUUCUGCUCUAAUUAGCCACUGAGAGAGACGUCAGGACACUUGAUUUAAAGCAGGGACAUGCUGCAUGUGCUACAGCCCCCUAUACAACUCUCAUUCCCUCUUUUUGUCUCUCUGAGUCCAUGCAUUGUAUCCAAUCACAGGUAAAUGCAUUGAUAAUGACAGCAAAUAUACACUCUGAUUGCAAAAAAUGUACCUUGUCUGAAACAGUCGAGCACAAAGCAGACAUCUGAGCUUUGGAGAGGGCGAUGAGAAAGACAGUGACCCAUAACAGACAUGCAGCCGAACCGAUGCCAGGUCUUUACCGCAAACUCCAGUUCUGUGGCUGGAGAUGCAUGAAGAACCUGGAGCUCUGAAACCACACAGUCUGGCCUUAAGACUGGAAAAUCAAUAAGCAGCACUAAAAUUCAGGAGCAGACGGCAUUCCCAUGCCUUCGCUUAGCUGAGGAAUAAUAGGCAGCCAUCCCUGAAACGCACUUGGACGCUUCACCUGCCAUCCAGAGCCAAGGGAAAAAAGGAUUAGAAACCAGCAAAAGCAUCCAAAUGAAGAAAAGGAUGAAGAGAUGAGGGAGAUGCAGAAGAGAAAAGCUCAAACGGAGGAUCUGCUAAGAGCGGCUGAAGGGCUAUUAUCAGUUUCAUGUACGGUUGAUGAUGACUUCACCACAUGUUGUCCCUGGGCUUAAACUCCAAAUACCUGUUGUGGAUAGGUUUUGGUAAAUGAAUAAGUCUACUGGACAGGGUCUACAAUUAACUACCUUUACACGGCGAGUCAACUGAGAAAAUUUAAUUGCUUAAAAAAAAUAAUAAUAAUAAUAUCAUAUCACAUAUCAUAUAGUAGCAUAUAUUAUAAUAUAAUAUAACAUUUUGCUUAUUCAUUUAUUUAUUUAUUUACGGUUGCUUGCUUGCAUAUAACCAUGAGGGUGAGUAAAUGAUGGCAGAAUUUUAAUAUAAUAUAAUAUAAUAUAAUAUAAUAUAAUAUAAUAUAAUAUAAUAUAAUAUAAUAUAAUAUAAUAUAAUAGUGCUGUCAAACUAUUCAUUGCAAUUAAUCACAUUUAAAAUAAAAGGUUUUUUUACAGAAUGUAUGUGUGUGUACUGUGUAUAUUUAUUAUGUAUAUAGAAAUACACACACAUGCAUGUAUAUAUUUAAGAAAAUUAUGUUAUGUUUAUAUAUUAAAUAUAUUUAUAAAUAAUAUGAAUUAUAUGAAUAUACAUAUAUGCACAUAAAUACAUGUAAAUAUUUUCCAAAUAUAUACAUGCAUGUGUGUGUAUUUAUAUAUACAGUAAAUCGUAAAUAUACACAUUAUGCACACAUUAUAUUAUGUAAACAAAAACAUAACAAAAACUGUUUUUUUUUUUUUGUUUUUUUUUUGCUUGGAUAGUAUCAUUGAUGACCAGUGUAUUCUUUAAAACUUAUCUUUUUGUCUUCCAUAGAAUUAAAUGAUGUAAGUAACACUGGCAAGUAACACUUUUUUUUGGAUUAGGUGCUUCAUGAGGGUUAAUUUUGGACUCUGGUGCUGGAUAAUUCUCAGACUGAGAAGGUGGAAAAUUUGUUUCCUCUUACCUGUAGGAUUCAAUAUCAAUCAUUAUUUGAUUUAUUUCUUCGUGUUAAUGUGAUAUUUUGCACAGCAUGCUUCGGCAAGCCUUCGAAUGCUCCACAUGCUAUAUUCAUAUUAAUAAAUGAGU
Long non-coding RNA from Cyprinus carpio carpio, 2993 nucleotides. NCBI's taxonomy places the organism in Eukaryota, Metazoa, Chordata, Actinopteri, Cypriniformes, Cyprinidae. The record is from Ensembl.